GGAUUGUGGCUCAGCGGUAGAGCACUCGCCUAGCACAUGCGAGGCCCUGGGUUUGAUCCUCAGCACCA
RNAcentral lists this transfer RNA (68 nucleotides) under Marmota monax (woodchuck). RNAcentral describes it as "tRNA.Ala". The record is from RNAcentral. Lineage: Eukaryota; Metazoa; Chordata; Mammalia; Rodentia; Sciuridae.